UGGGGAAUCUUGGACAAUGGGCGCAAGCCUGAUCCAGCGACGCCGCGUGGGUGACGAAGGCCUUCGGGUUGUAAAGCCCUUUUCCCGGGGACGAUGGUGACGGUACCCGGGGAAUAAGCACCGGCUAACUCCGUGCCAGCAGCCGCGGUAAGACGGAGGGUGCUAGCGUUGUUCGGAAUCACUGGGCGUAAAGGGCGCGUAGGCGGCCCCUCGCGUCGGACGUGAAAGCCCGGGGCUCAACCCCGGAACGGCGUCCGAUACGGGGGGCUCGAGGCCGGGAGAGGGGGGUGGAAUACCCAGUGUAGAGGUGAAAUUCGUAGAUAUUGGGUGGAACACCGGUGGCGAAAGCGGCCCCCGGCCCGGUCCUGACGCUGAGGCGCGAAAGCGUGGGGAGCAAACAGGUUAGAUACCC
Molecule: ribosomal RNA, 412 nt
Filed under: uncultured bacterium
Lineage: Bacteria
Description: bacterial SSU rRNA
Rfam family: Bacterial small subunit ribosomal RNA
Source: RNAcentral